This 5850-nucleotide long non-coding RNA is filed under the name Spirodela polyrhiza (greater duckweed). Its description in RNAcentral is "long non-coding RNA (SPOL_LNC001868)". Lineage: Eukaryota; Viridiplantae; Streptophyta; Magnoliopsida; Alismatales; Araceae. The record is from RNAcentral.
GCCAGGAAAGCUGCUAUCGGCGUCAAAAGCGCCUUCGCCUCGGAUGAGAACACACCCGCCGAAGGCGGAAACGAAGCCCCGAGGACGUUAUACUGUACAGAGGUAGACACUUUUAUCUGGUCCUGUAGGCCGGCCGCCGUGAGGGCUAUAUAGAUGUUCUGCAUGGCAGGGAGAAUGUACUCCGCCUCCCCUUUUGUGAGGAUCACCUCGUUUCCCACGGCUAUGUACCGGAUGCGGACAUCCGGCCAGUGGGCCAGUACCACAUCUCGGACCCACCCAUGGGCAGCCCAAGGGUUCUCAGCGAUUGUCUUUAGAGGUGCCGGGCAGUCGAGGAGGAGCUCGAUGUUGGAUCCUUUGAGUUCCUGUAGAACCUCUGUGUUCGGGUCGUAGAUUCUCAUCUUCCGAAGGUUAAGCGACUGAUAGAGCUGGACGACCUCCGCGGGUCUGGGGAGGUUGUUGCCUAACCUUCCGUAGCAUACUCCAAUAGAUGCCAUGCCUGAAUUAUACACGAAACCACGUUAAAGAUAAUUAUACUGAUGGGUUUGCCGAGAUUUUGUAAUUUCCUCUUGCUGAAAAUGUGGCGUUAUGGGAUAGAGAGUUGGAUGCAUGAAUGAAUGAGUUCACAAAUACAUGUGUGCAGAACGGUAUAGAGGUAGGUACAUACUUGCUGACUUCGCCGUCUGCCUGAACCAAGAAUCUGUAGGAAGCCGUGGAGAACCGCAGAAGAGAGAACGCCUUUUUUGAUACACCAGUAGCAUUGGGACGAAACAUGGUUCCGUUUUAUAGCAGUAGCCACUCCAACCGUAUUCUCCACAACUUGAUGGAAGAAGACUCCAACUCAUCGUCAAUAUCGACGGCACGAAACUUUUAUAAAUUGACCCGGUACUCGGGGUUAGCGAGAUUAAUUUGGACUGCGACAGUCGUCAUAUGCGCCUUAUAUCGUUGACCUAUGAAACGAGCAUGAUACAAAUGCUUGCUUCAUCCAUGAAGACUCAUCUACAUGAAUUUAAAUCAUCUACAAUUGUAAUGUUAACGCCAAUGGUAAUGGCACAUCUUUCAAUCUAAAGGUCUUCCACCCCCUAAUAAUCGUGUGAAAUCCCCACGUUGGAGGAAACCAACUCACCAACUCUUGUUGCGCCGUCUCCAUCAACUAAGAAGCAUCAAAUACGUCAACGGAACGUGUGCCGUGUACCAUUUUCUUCAGGAAUAUCCCAAGGAAAUUUUCCUGACCAUUGAUUGUCGGUCCCACCGUCGCUUGCGGGUGGCCUUUCCUAGUAUUCAUACAUGGCAGAUAAAAAACAAAACGUUGAGACGACAGCUCACUACGUAACCCAACUGCUCCAAUUAUCUUCAUUUUUAAUUAGACCUUGGUGCUAAUUAGGGGGGCCUGCCGAUAUCCCUUGCAUCUAAUGACCUCAAUUUCCUUGUAAGAGCUUUUAAGCUAGAUCCUUAUCAUACUCAUGUUAGUAAAGACUUGUAUGAUUUAGUCAAUUUAUCGAUAAAGCCUUGUAGACUCCUUAAGGGUUAAAUAUCUAUUGUAUAAUAUAAGUAUAAACUAAUAUUCAAAUGGACUUCCGAAUAUUACCUCAAAUUUUAAUUUAUUUUUUUUCUCAUGGUAGGUUAAAAUGUUCGAACUUGAGAUAGAUCCCUUCAUUAUUGCUAGUAAUCCUUUAGAGAGUUUUUAAUAUUUUCACAUGAAAAUAUCAAGAUUGCAGUAGGUAGAUAGAAUUCUCCUCUCUUAGUAUGUGUUGACCUAGAUAUUUGACAAAAGAACUUAGUUGAAUUAACUAACUACACUUUCAGGUAUCAUUAACAAAAGUUGUUGAUGUAAAUAGAGCUGCGAAAAAUCAAAAUUCCCUAUUAUUAGGACAAUAAAAUGGCACAUAAUUUCUACAACUUAAAACAAUGAACAUCAAGAGUAAUAAAGAGAAACUAUGGUCGUUGAUCCUCUUAGGAAGCUAAUAUUCAUGAUUACAAUUCCAUUUUAUGAAUCUAAUGCUACCCUUUGGUGAAAACCAAGGUGAAAUGACUCUUGCUUGACAUGCUAUCAAAAUUUCUUGUAAGAGGAACAAAUCAUCCUCAUGAUUUAUCACAAUUUUAUCCCUAUACAUAUUAACAUAUGUUUAUCAAAAUCAUUCUAACAAUGGAAAUUUCUCUCUUUUCCAUAAGAAUAGACGGCCAUCAUGAUGUCUUCUAUAAUGCUUGAAAUAUGAAUGCAUUACAAUGUACUUCAGUGGACUAGUGGCAAAAUCAUGGUGCUCAACUAAAAUCAUAAUUACCUGGUUCAAAUUGAUAGUGAGACCAUCUGAAAAGGACCAAUGCUCUAAAUGGAAGGCUUUGACUCAUUUAAAACAUAAAUAAAGCCUUCGUAAUUAUUUUUCAAUCUAGUAAGCUAGAUUAUAUAAAUGAACGUGUUUCAAGUAAGGUUCUAGUAUAUUCCAAAACUAACCUAUAUUUUUUGUAGGUUAUUAACACAAGUAAGCAAACAUUGAUUAACCCCUUUGGUGGGCAUCCCAAAACAAGGUUUCAGAAAAACUUCAAAAUUAAGCAUGUUUGAGCCAGAACUAUACUAAGAUGGGUGAUCUUUUGGGAAAGGAUUAUACACAUUUCAUUCAUUUCAUUAUAAAUGUUAUAUUCAUUAACAUACAUGUGUGAUGCUUAUUGAUGAAGUCUAAUAAUAUGUCUAAGAUAAGUAAAUUAUGAUGAGAUCAUAUUAUGGUGAUUUCUGAUCGCAUUAGUUCAAACUAGGAUGACCGAUUAGGGUUUUGACAAUUGACCAUAUCCUAAGCCGUUCUAAGAGUCUCAUUCAAAUGAAGGAUUAUACAUAUCCAAUAAUACUUGACAAAUAAAUUCUAUGAGUGGGUAAUGUAACCUUAUUAUCUUUUAAGACAUGUAGUGUAGCUUGACACCUAACAUGUGGCUUGACCUAUCGAUUGGGUUAAAUUGAUCCAUGAUUAAUUAAUUCAUAUUAGAUAUUAAAUUAAUUAAUUAAUUAAUUAAUUAAUUAAGUUAAUAAAGAGUUAUUGACUUAUUAGGCCAUUAAAUAGAUGUGUAUUUAGGCCUAGAGGGUCACAUGCAUAAGGUUCUUGUGUAAUGGGGUAAAUAUACAAAUGAUUUGGAUUUUUAUAAAAAAUAUUAAGUAUUAUCUAUAGACCUCAAGGGGUAUGUUUGAUGGGCCUACGUGACCCUCUUCACUAGAGCCAUCCCUUCUCUCUCCUCAACCUCUUACUUAAGUGUUGUUUUGUAGAUCAAGGAGAAUUAGUCCUUCUAAUCACAAUCAAGGAGAGGAGGUUUGUCUAGAGAACUACAUGGAUAUCAUUAGAUGUUGGGCACAUGCAUGGCUGACAGAUUUGAUUUUACACAAGGUGAUGUGAUCAUCGUCUAUUACUUAAUUAUUUUCUUAGGGACACUAUGAUUUCCUUCAACUAUCUCAAUAUGUGUGUCAAAUACCAAAUCUCAACAGGGGCUAGGCUUAAGGUGUUCCCCUCCUAAAAGGUGUGUAUGCACCUAACUAUCUAGAAAAGUGUUCCUAACAGUCCCUACAAAGCCUUGGUAGAGACAGCUUUCAAAAAAAAAAGUAACCAAAAAUCAGUUUCUACCUUAUUACCACAGACUUGGCCAAAAUUGACAAUGUAGUUUAACUCUUAUGUAUGAAACUAUUCCCAUAUUUCCAUUUCUAGAAGAGCUUAAGGCAUCCCCUAGAGCUGUAUUGAUUGGACUAGAUGUCCUCUAAACAUUACGUUGAAAAUAAAGAGUAGUUGAAACAUUCACACAAAACUAGUUCUAUCCUAAAUAUCCUUCUCCAACAAAAAUGAUGACCCAACAAACUAGUUCCGUAAUCACAUCCAAUGUCAGGAUAAUGGGAAGAGGGAGAUUAUAUAGACAAAAAGAUAUUCUCUAUCUAUUUUUCUGAACUUAGCGAUAUGGAAGAUAUUGACAAUUUACGGGAAGCAUAUGAAGCUCAAAGUAGGAUAAAUCAUAAAAUCAGUUCAUUAGGUAAAAAUGGAGACAGCUAAAGGAGGAUACUUUGCCAUUUAAUCAUAGUGGAGAGGCCAGUAUACAAAUGCAUAUAAACAUAUGGAGAGAGGGAGAUGCAUCUAGAGAAAAGGUUUUUUUCUACAAUUUUUGAAUUAUUUGAUUUAUAAUAUAUUAAAAAUUAUAUUUUAAGUAUAUGCAUGAUAGGAGAUCAUUAGAACCAUCAUUGAUGUGUGCACUAUCUUACAUUGAUAAACAUCUACAUUUUACAAUUCAAAACUUUCUGUAAAGACAUGGUAAAGUCAACUUUUGAAGUCUUUUUAUAAUGAAUGUUUACAAGAUAUGUGAGGAACAAGAUAAUAAUUUUACACAAAAAAAAGAGAGUAUUAAAUAAUUUUUAUUCAAAUAUUUUUCUGGAGUAGUAUUGUCAAUUUACUGUUAAAUUUUUUUUCUUAGAAGGUUAGAAUUUAGCUACAUGACUGGCUUUUAGACCUACUGUUGGAUACUGCUUUUCAGAUGGUCCAACCUUCAUAUUUAACUAUAACAGCCCUCUACAAGGACUGAUUCUAAUAUCUAGAUAUCAUUUAUCCACUGUUUAUGCCUAUUAAGUAUUUAUGCCCUCAAGAGUUCCAAAAUUUAUCCACUAUUACUUACAACGUGCUGAAAUGGUCGUUUGAAGUUUGGAUUCACAAAUUUAUUCAAGAAAUGGACCAUUAAGAGAAUAUCUCAUAAGUUUUGAUUUGUUGCACCCAAGUGCACGAGCUACGACCAUAUUAAUUGCAUCUGAGGCUUUCGCUAAUUUGAAUAUCUUUGUUGUCGAUUUUUCAUACCUUUGGCUUUAAAUAUUUAAUAUAGAACUGCUGGAAAUGUUUUCCUGGCUUCGUAGACGACUUUCAGGGCACUUCAAAAGGGUCCAGCCUGGAUCCAUUGGACAAGCCCAGCUAAGUUUAGACCCAACUAGAAGAGACAUUGGCUAAUCAACCAUGUCUUGGCGUGCACAAAAAUCUUUUGAGCGUAUUUAUUCCUGAGUAGUUCAGACAGGACACGUUGGUGGGAACCUCUGGUUUUCUUUAUUCUUGGUUUAUAUGUCGAUACAUCACCUUCUCAAAUGUCAUUUUUAAAAUAAAAGCUCAUUGAUUCGGAGGGUAGGAAUCAGAGAGCUUAGAACUAGAACUUGAUGGGAUAGACUGGCUGUUUAUUUGGGUAGAACAAUCCCCAGUUGUUUUCAAUCCCCGGAGGCGUCUUCUGGUCUUCGUUGAAUAGAGCGAAGAUAUAUGUCUCCACUUCCUUCCCAGGUAUCUUAGGCGUACCCUUCCCGACGUGUUGGAUCAGGUUUGAGUUGUAAAUGCGGGCAUUUUCGACGGUCGCUGCAGAACCACCAGCCGACGGCCACCCGCUCUCAGAGACGACGAUCUCCACACCGCCGGCUCCAACAUUCUCCAGUGCUGCGUGGGCAGCGUCGACCAUGGCGUCGAACAGGUUCUGAUACUCGAGGUCACUAUCCGGGUCGUAGACCACGGGCUCCGGCGACGUGAACAAGGAGUACGAGAGGUCAACUUCUUCUGGAUUCCCUGCGUAACUGAAGUAAGGGUAGAUGUUGACGAGCAGAGGCGCCUUCGUAAUGGCCAGGAAAGCUGCUAUCGGCGUCAUAAGCGCCUUCGCCUCGGAUGAGAACUCACCCGCCGAAGGCGGAAACGAAGCCCCGAGGACGUUAUACUGUACAGAGGUAGACACUUUUAUCUGGUCCUGUAGACCGGCCGCCGUGAGGGCUAUAUAGAUGUUCUGCAUGGCAGGGAGGAUGUACUCCGCCUCCCCUUUUGUGAGGAUCACCUCGUUUCCCACGGCGAUGUACCGGACACGGACGUCCGGCCAGUG